This 389-nucleotide ribosomal RNA is filed under the name uncultured Acidobacteriota bacterium. Its description in RNAcentral is "SSU rRNA". It matches the Rfam family "Bacterial small subunit ribosomal RNA", at positions 242 to 645 of the family's 1533-position model. Lineage: Bacteria; Pseudomonadati; Acidobacteriota. The record is from RNAcentral.
CAGGUAGUUGGCAGGGUAAAAGCCUACCAAGCCUGUGAUCGAUAGCCGGCCUGAGAGGGCACACGGCCACACUGGCACUGAAACACGGGCCAGACUCCUACGGGAGGCAGCAGUGGGGAAUCUUGCACAAUGGGGGAAACCCUGAUGCAGCGACGCCGCGUGAGCGAUGAAGCCCUUCGGGGUGUAAAGCUCUUUCGUCAGGGAAGAAUAAAAUGACGGUACCUGGAGAAGCAGCUGCGGCUAACUACGUGCCAGCAGCCGCGGUAAUACGUAGGCAGCAAGCGUUGUUCGGAGUUACUGGGCGUAAAGGGUGCGUAGGCGGCUAUUUAAGUUUGGUGUGAAAUCUCCCGGCUCAACCGGGAGGGUGCGCCGAAUACCGAGUGGCUAGA